GUCCUUUAGAAAAUAAUUUAAGGUCUAAUCUGCCCACUGAAAAUUUAAAGGGCCGCAGUAUAUUGACUGUGCAAAGGUAGCAUAAUCAUUAGUUUUUUAAUUAAAAGCUUGUAUGAAAGAUUGGACGAGGUAAAUUCUGUCUCUUUAUAGUAAAUAGAAUUUAAUUUUUAAGUUAAAAAGCUUAAAUUUUAAUAAAAGACGAGAAGACCCUAUAGAUCUUUAUAUAUUUAAUUAUAAAUUUAAUUAAGAAUAUUUAAUGUUUUAUAAUUUAAUAUAAUUUAUUGGGGUAAUAGAAAGAUUUAUUUAAUUCUUUUUAUAUUUUUACAUUAAUUUAUGAAUAUUUGAUCCAAUAAUUUUGAUUAAAAGAUUAAGUUACCUUAGGGAUAACAGCGUAAUUUUUUUAAAGAGUUCAUAUCGAUAAAAAAGUUUGCGACCUCGAUGUUGGAUUAAAAAUUAUCUUAGGUGCAGAAGUUUAAGAUUUUGGUCUGUUCGACCAUUAAAUUUUUACA
RNAcentral lists this ribosomal RNA (509 nucleotides) under Platynectes sp. UNM KBMPysp457. RNAcentral describes it as "partial 16S ribosomal RNA". The stretch from base 383 to 509 matches the Rfam family "Bacterial large subunit ribosomal RNA", at positions 2473 to 2600 of the family's 2925-position model. Lineage: Eukaryota; Metazoa; Arthropoda; Insecta; Coleoptera; Dytiscidae. The record is from RNAcentral.